Molecule: ribosomal RNA, 654 nt
Filed under: Pseudomonas sp. LGMB34
Lineage: Bacteria; Pseudomonadati; Pseudomonadota; Gammaproteobacteria; Pseudomonadales; Pseudomonadaceae
Description: bacterial SSU rRNA
Rfam family: Bacterial small subunit ribosomal RNA
Source: RNAcentral
GGGGGAUAACGUUCGGAAACGGACGCUAAUACCGCAUACGUCCUACGGGAGAAAGCAGGGGACCUUCGGGCCUUGCGCUAUCAGAUGAGCCUAGGUCGGAUUAGCUAGUUGGUGAGGUAAUGGCUCACCAAGGCGACGAUCCGUAACUGGUCUGAGAGGAUGAUCAGUCACACUGGAACUGAGACACGGUCCAGACUCCUACGGGAGGCAGCAGUGGGGAAUAUUGGACAAUGGGCGAAAGCCUGAUCCAGCCAUGCCGCGUGUGUGAAGAAGGUCUUCGGAUUGUAAAGCACUUUAAGUUGGGAGGAAGGGUUGUAGAUUAAUACUCUGCAAUUUUGACGUUACCGACAGAAUAAGCACCGGCUAACUCUGUGCCAGCAGCCGCGGUAAUACAGAGGGUGCAAGCGUUAAUCGGAAUUACUGGGCGUAAAGCGCGCGUAGGUGGUUUGUUAAGUUGGAUGUGAAAUCCCCGGGCUCAACCUGGGAACUGCAUUCAAAACUGACUGACUAGAGUAUGGUAGAGGGUGGUGGAAUUUCCUGUGUAGCGGUGAAAUGCGUAGAUAUAGGAAGGAACACCAGUGGCGAAGGCGACCACCUGGACUAAUACUGACACUGAGGUGCGAAAGCGUGGGGAGCAAACAGGAUUAGAUACCC